Molecule: long non-coding RNA, 142 nt
Organism: Nematolebias whitei (Rio pearlfish)
Lineage: Eukaryota; Metazoa; Chordata; Actinopteri; Cyprinodontiformes; Rivulidae
Exons: 3
Source: RefSeq, a predicted model, not a curated record
GGCAGAAAGCGCUUGGUGCCUUGGGCUGACACCAAGGCUUUAACUUCCCUGGAGGGUUGCUCUUGAUAUGAAAUGAGCUAAACAAAACAUAAUAGGAUGAGACUAUCACUUCCAGGCUUUGGGAUUUGACUCCCUGCUGUUG